This 600-nucleotide ribosomal RNA is filed under the name uncultured Leptodontidium. RNAcentral describes it as "eukaryotic LSU rRNA". The stretch from base 167 to 320 matches the Rfam family "5.8S ribosomal RNA". Lineage: Eukaryota; Fungi; Ascomycota. The record is from RNAcentral.
AGUCCUCGGGCCUCUNGGAUAACCUCUGUCCUGAACUCCACCCUUGAAUACACUACCUUUGUUGCUUUGGCGGGCCGCCUCGUGCCGCGGCUUNCGCUGUUGAGUGCCCGCCAUAUGACCCCAACUCUUGUUUUUAGUGAUGUCUGAGGUACUAUAUAAUAAUUAAAACUUUCAACAACGGAUCUCUUGGUUCUGGCAUCGAUGAAGAACGCAGCGAAAUGCGAUAAGUAAUGUGAAUUGCAGAAUUCAGUGAAUCAUCCAANCUUUGAACGCACAUUGCGCCCUCUGGUAUUCCGGGGGGCAUGCCUGUUCNAGCGUCAUUAUAACCACUCAAGCUCUCGCUCGGUAUUGGGGUUCGCGGUUUCCCGGCCCCUAAAAUCUGUGGCGGUGCCUGUCGGCUCUACGCGUAGUAAUACUCCUCCCGAUUGAGUCCNGUGGGUCUACUUGCCAGCAACCCCUAAUUUUUUUAAAGUUGACCUCGGAUCAGGUAGGGAUACCCGCUGAACUUAAGCAUAUCCCUUAGCGGAUGAAAAGAAACCAGCAAGGAUUACCUCAGNAACGGCGAGUGAAUCGGUAACAGCUCAGAUUUGAAAGCUGGCU